AUUGAACGCUGGCGGCAGGCCUAACACAUGCAAGUCGAGCGGAUGACGGGAGCUUGCUCCUUGAUUCAGCGGCGGACGGGUGAGUAAUGCCUAGGAAUCUGCCUGGUAGUGGGGGACAACGUUUCGAAAGGAACGCUAAUACCGCAUACGUCCUACGGGAGAAAGCAGGGGACCUUCGGGCCUUGCGCUAUCAGAUGAGCCUAAGUCGGAUUAGCUAGUAGGUGAGGUAGUGGCUCACCUAGGCGACGAUCCGUAACUGGUCUGAGAGGAUGAUCAGUCACACUGGAACUGAGACACGGUCCAGACUCCUACGGGAGGCAGCAGUGGGGAAUAUUGGACAAUGGGCGAAAGCCUGAUCCAGCCAUGCCGCGUGUGUGAAGAAGGUCUUCGGAUUGUAAAGCACUUUAAGUUGGGAGGAAGGGCAGUAAGUUAAUACCUUGCUGUUUUGACGUUACCGACAGAAUAAGCACCGGCUAACUCUGUGCCAGCCGCCGCAGUAA
This 500-nucleotide ribosomal RNA is filed under the name uncultured bacterium. RNAcentral describes it as "partial 16S ribosomal RNA". It matches the Rfam family "Bacterial small subunit ribosomal RNA", at positions 30 to 523 of the family's 1533-position model. The record is from RNAcentral.